This 861-nucleotide ribosomal RNA is filed under the name Triticum aestivum (bread wheat). Its description in RNAcentral is "partial small subunit ribosomal RNA". The record is from RNAcentral. Lineage: Eukaryota; Viridiplantae; Streptophyta; Magnoliopsida; Poales; Poaceae.
CCCACCCCGCCGCGGUUUCGGGUUGAGCUCUUCUAGCUUAACCAGGCAGGCUUCCGGGCGGUUAUUGCUCGAUGGAUAUCUGCUCGCGCUUCCCCUCAUCGCUCCAUGUCCGUUGUUGACUCGUGGCACUUCCGUGCCAAGCUCGCUCGCCAAUUCAUGAAGGGUUGGGGUGCUAACCUUGGCCGGGACCUCCGCGAGCGCGAAAGGGCCCUCCAGCUGGCUAUCCAAGCACUGGACGCCUGUGCCGACACCUCCGGAAUCUCCCCGGAUGAGUGGAUGAUGAGAUAUGAUCUUGAGGAUCAACUCUCAACCAUUUAAACGGAUGAGGAGGCCUACUGGAGGUUGCGCAGUACCCAAUGGGUGCUUCCUGGCGAUGCAAACACCGCAUAUUUCCAGGUAGUCGCGAACGACAGGCGUCAUCGGAACUCCAUCCACUGCCUGUGGGAUGGAGAUACGCCUCUCAUUCGCCCCUCGGCUAUCCGUGUCCAUGUUGACGGCUUUUACAAAGCUCUAUUUACCCCCACCCCUCGGGGUGGGGCUAGUCUCGCCCCCGACAUUUGGUCGGCUGAUCAGCUGGUCUCUGCUGAGGCCAAUGUGGCAUUAGUUGCCCCCUUCGCCGAGGACGAGGUCCUCGCGGCUAUUAAGGGGAUGAACCCCUCCUCGGCCCCGGGGCCGGAUGGCCUACCCGUAAUGUUGUUCAAAAUGUUCUGGCUGACCAUCAAGCCGGAGGUCAUGGCAUUGUUUGAGGAAUUCUACUCGGGCUCUAUGGAUCUAGGGCGCCUUAACUAUGGGAUCGUCACCCUCAUCCCCAAGGUUCCGGGCGCCUCCGAUAUCCGCCAGUUCUGUCCCAUCACGGUGAUU